RNAcentral lists this ribosomal RNA (303 nucleotides) under uncultured bacterium. Its description in RNAcentral is "partial 16S ribosomal RNA". It matches the Rfam family "Bacterial small subunit ribosomal RNA", at positions 507 to 809 of the family's 1533-position model. The record is from RNAcentral.
AGCAGUCGCCGCGGUAACACCGAGGGUGCGAGCGUUAAUCGGAUUUACUGGGCGUAAAGCGUGCGUAGGCGGCUUUUUAAGUCGGAUGUGAAAUCCCCGAGCUUAACUUGGGAAUUGCAUUCGAUACUGGGAAGCUAGAGUAUGGGAGAGGAUGGUAGAAUUCCAGGUGUAGCGGUGAAAUGCGUAGAGAUCUGGAGGAAUACCGAUGGCGAAGGCAGCCAUCUGGCCUAAUACUGACGCUGAGGUACGAAAGCAUGGGGAGCAAACAGGAUUAGAUACCCCAGUAGUCCCUGUCUCUUAUAA